RNAcentral lists this ribosomal RNA (452 nucleotides) under uncultured bacterium. RNAcentral's name for it is "bacterial SSU rRNA". It matches the Rfam family "Bacterial small subunit ribosomal RNA", at positions 28 to 490 of the family's 1533-position model. The record is from RNAcentral.
GACGAACGCUGGCGGCGUGCUUAACACAUGCAAGUCGAACGGACCGAGUUGAUAGCUUGCUAUUGAUGAGGUUAGUGGCAAACGGGUGAGUAACGCGUGAGAAACCUGCCUUUCAGUGGGGGACAACAGUUGGAAACGACUGCUAAUACCGCAUAACACUUUAGUACCGCAUGGUACAGAAGUCAAAGCUUAAUGUGCUGAGAGAUGGUCUCGCGUCUGAUUAGCUAGAUGGCGGGGUAACGGCCCACCAUGGCGACGAUCAGUAGCCGGUCUGAGAGGAUGAACGGCCACAUUGGGACUAAGAUACGGCCCAGACUCCUACGGGAGGCAGCAGUGGGAAUAUUGGGCAAUGGGGGAAACCCUGACCCAGCAACGCCGCGUGAAGGAAGAAGGCCUUGGGUUGUAAACUUCUUUAGCAGGGACGAAGGACGUGACGGUACCUGCAGAAAAAG